This 99-nucleotide microRNA precursor is filed under the name Callithrix jacchus (white-tufted-ear marmoset). Its description in RNAcentral is "mir-544 microRNA precursor family". It matches the Rfam family "mir-544 microRNA precursor family". Lineage: Eukaryota; Metazoa; Chordata; Mammalia; Primates; Cebidae. RNAcentral also lists the same sequence under 1 other name. The record is from Rfam by way of RNAcentral.
AUCACCUGGGGAUCUUGUUAGAAUGCAGAGUCUGAUUCAGUAGAUCUGAGGUAGGGUCUGAGAUUCUGCUAUUUUUAACAAGUCCCCAGAUAUUGCAGA